GAUGAACGCUGGCGGCGUGCCUAAUACAUGCAAGUCGAGCGAACAGACGAGGAGCUUGCUCCUCUGUCGUUAGCGGCGUACGGGUGAGUAACACGUGGAUAACCUACCUAUAAGACUGGGAUAACUUCGGGAAACCGGAGCUAAUACCGGAUAAUAUAUUUAACCGCAUUUUUCAAUAGUGAAAUACGGUGUUGCUGUCACUUAUAGAUGGAUCCGCGCCGCAUUAGCUAGUUGGUAAGGUAACGGCUUACCAAGGCAACGAUGCGUAGCCGAACUGAGAGGGUGAUCGGCCACACUGGAACUGAGACACGGUCCAGACUCCUAAGGGAGGCAGCAGUAGGGAAUCUUCCGCAAUGGGCGAAAGCCUGACGGAGCAACGCCGCGUGAGUGAUGAAGGUCUUCGGAUCGUAAAACUCUGUUAUUAGGGAAGAACAAAUGUGUAAGUAACUAUGCACGUCUUGACGGUACCUAAUCAGAAAGCCACGGCUAACUACGUG
Molecule: ribosomal RNA, 497 nt
Filed under: uncultured bacterium
Lineage: Bacteria
Description: partial 16S ribosomal RNA
Rfam family: Bacterial small subunit ribosomal RNA
Source: RNAcentral